RNAcentral lists this long non-coding RNA (1056 nucleotides) under Elaeis guineensis (African oil palm). Its description in RNAcentral is "long non-coding RNA (EGUI_LNC013429)". The record is from RNAcentral. Lineage: Eukaryota; Viridiplantae; Streptophyta; Magnoliopsida; Arecales; Arecaceae.
UUUAUAAAAAAUUAUAAUUUUAUCAAUAGCAAUUCUUUGCAUAAAAACAUGAUCAUUUAAAAUAAAUAAGGAGCAUAAAAUCCACUUACUUCGUUCAUCUUAGAUCUUCAGACUUCGUUAGAAGAAUCAGCUAAUCCUAUUUAAAAUAUCAAAUCAUCGUCAAUUUCUAUUUCAUGAAUAUAAUAAGAUUAAAUCAUAAGAAAAGAGGACCGUUGUCCGGAUGUGUCGGACCAUUCAGAUAUCAGGGCAAUUCAGGGUCUCUGAUCUGAGGGUCAGAUUUAAGUGAUUUGAUCAAGAAAUCGUGAAGCACAGAUCGAAUUAAGGUCAAGAUCAAUUAAUAGGAUUCUUUAAUAAUAAAUUUGAAAGAUCUUUGAUACGAUCAGAUGAGGUUGACAUACAGCACGGAUAUCAAAGCAAUUUUGGAUCAUCUUGUUAGAGUCAAUAUGAACCCCUAAAAGAUGAAGGCAUGACUCGAUACAGGAUUCAUAGACCUUCUUAGAGAGAGAAAGUCAAUCAUGAGAGAGAAAGAGAGAGAGAAAGUGAGAGAGAAUCUUCGUAUCCUUCAAAAGUGACAAUCAUGAUUGAGAUCAUCAGAGGUUAUAUCAAGAUGACUUAAUAUGGAUUAACCAUGAUCGAUGUUAUUAAUUUCGAAGAAGGAUCGGAUCGGGAUCUAAUCUACUGCAUGAAUUUCGGAGCAGUCUCAGAUCAUCAUAUUUUCAUCUCAAGUUUAUCCUAGGAUCUGUGAUGCAAUCAGAGAGAGAGAAUGACCCUAGAGAGACAAAAUCCAUAAAAAGAGAUAAAAGGAUCUAGAGAGAGAAAAUAGAAAGAAAAUCUAGAGAGAGAAAAUGAAGAGAGAAUGUAGAGAGAGAAAGUCCAAUUCUAGAGAGAGAAAGACUUAAGAGAGAGAUGAGAGAAACUUUCUCUCACAUGUAUUUAUUAUUAUUAUUAUUAUAUAUAUAUAUUUUUUUAUUUUUUAUUUUUCUUUUCUUCUUAGAGAGAGAAAAUAGAGAGAGAAAGAGAGAGAAGAGAGAGAAAGAGGGAGAAAGAGGGGAGAGA